AGUGAACGCUGGCGGUAGGCCUAACACAUGCAAGUCGAACGGCAGCACAGUAAGAGCUUGCUCUUACGGGUGGCGAGUGGCGGACGGGUGAGGAAUACAUCGGAAUCUACUUUUUCGUGGGGAUAACGUAGGGAAACUUACGCUAAUACCGCAUACGACCUACGGGUGAAAGCAGGGGAUCUUCGGACCUUGCGCGAUUGAAUGAGCCGAUGUCGGAUUAGCUAGUUGGCGGGGUAAAGGCCCACCAAGGCGACGAUCCGUAGCUGGUCUGAGAGGAUGAUCAGCCACACUGGAACUGAGACACGGUCCAGACUCCCACGGGAGGCAGCAGUGGGGAAUAUUGGACAAUGGGCGCAAGCCUGAUCCAGCCAUACCGCGUGGGUGAAGAAGGCCUUCGGGUUGUAAAGCCCUUUUGUUGGGAAAGAAAAGCAGCAGGUUAAUACCCCGCUGUUCUGACGGUACCCAAAGAAUAAGCACCGGCUAACUUCGUG
Molecule: ribosomal RNA, 491 nt
Filed under: uncultured bacterium
Lineage: Bacteria
Description: partial 16S ribosomal RNA
Rfam family: Bacterial small subunit ribosomal RNA
Source: RNAcentral